UGAUGUGUGAACACGAAUAUCCUUCCCCUCUCCUGGGAUUCAACUCACAGUGACCUCUACCCUCUCUCUGCAGGAGGAAUAUGAAACGUUGGCAGUGUGAUUAUUCCUGCCCCAGGCACAUUCCCUGUUUUCCUCCGCCGGGACUCGGCCGUGCCACAGUGUCUGGGUGCUGCUCCCCUGCAGCCAACAGCAAUCCCAGUAUCCUAAAGGACAUUUAACAUUAUAACUGUGAUCGAGGAGGAACCGAAAUAUUUCUUCAAGACACCUGAGCUCCUGCAGCACUGAGAGCUUUGGGAGCUGACCCUGCCACAGGAGGAAAGGGCCAGCCCCUUGCUUUUCAUGGAAUCAUGGAAUAUCCUGAGUUGGGAGGGACCCAAAAGGACCAUCCAGUCCAACCCAACCACCAUCUGGGGGAAGAGCCUUUCCCUGAUUUCCAGCCUGACCCUCCCCUGACACAGCUCCAGCCAUUAAAGCUUCCCCACAGCAGAGCUGGAAUUGCAGGAAGAGAGGGAUGACCGUGGUUGGUUCCUGGGAAAAAGGAGCUCUGGGUGUCCACCCUGCCAUGGAGGAGCAUCUUCACCUGCUGAUGGAUCAGCAAACCUGUGUUUUUUCCCUGCUUGCAGAAUCAUUGAGGUUGGAAAAGCCCUGCCAGCACCGAUCCGUCCCCAAGGUGCACAUUAAAGACAAAAUGAUCCUGCCCUGGUGCAUCUGGUGGAAGAACAGCUGCUCAGUUAGAUCCUGCUGUCAGGGAUUCAGGAACUGGACAUCAAACAAAACGUGGAGGGCCCAGGACUUGGCUCAUCUGUGUGCUCAGAACCAGCCCCAGCUGCCUCAAGCUGCUGCUGAAGUGAUUUUUUUUAAGAAGUAGAUUGAAGGAAGGACCUCAAGUGCAGCUCGGAUGUGGAAAGAAAGACUCCUCCGAGUGAUGACAGAGCUUGGUGGCCUCGAAGUUCCCAGCAGAUGGUUCCCCCAGGGCUGAUCACAGCUUCAGCUCUCACUGAUUUGGCAAUUUUGGGUGGCUUCCUGCCAAAACCCACCUAAAAAAUGGCAAGCAGUGCAGUUUGGGAAAUUGGACAAGAGCAAAGUCAACUGUGAUGGAACCAGCACCAGUCUCCUGCCAUCACCUUCAAGUAUCAGGAGCUUAAUUGCAGAUCAAUGGAUUUUAAUUGGCUUCAGCUCACCUCACAGUUCCCAUUUCAGCCACGCAGAAGAAUUUGGAACAGCAACACAGGGGAGUUCCAGCAAGGUGGAGCCUGGACCUGCUUGAGGGAGAGUUUUGGAGAGGCCU
Corapipo altera (White-ruffed manakin) is the source of this 1288-nucleotide long non-coding RNA. RefSeq lists it as uncharacterized. The record is from RefSeq and is a predicted model, not a curated record. NCBI's taxonomy places the organism in Eukaryota, Metazoa, Chordata, Aves, Passeriformes, Pipridae. The transcript is spliced from 6 exons.